Molecule: transfer RNA, 72 nt
Filed under: Camelus ferus (Wild Bactrian camel)
Lineage: Eukaryota; Metazoa; Chordata; Mammalia; Artiodactyla; Camelidae
Rfam family: tRNA
About the family: Transfer RNA (tRNA) molecules are approximately 80 nucleotides in length. Their secondary structure includes four short double-helical elements and three loops (D, anti-codon, and T loops).
Source: Rfam by way of RNAcentral
GUGGGUACGGCUCAGUGGUAGAGCGCAUGCUUAGCAUGCAUGAGGGCCUGGGUUCAAUCCCCAGUAACUCCA